This 253-nucleotide ribosomal RNA is filed under the name uncultured bacterium. RNAcentral's name for it is "partial 16S ribosomal RNA". It matches the Rfam family "Bacterial small subunit ribosomal RNA", at positions 524 to 776 of the family's 1533-position model. The record is from RNAcentral.
UACGUAGGGGGCAAGCGUUGUCCGGAAUCAUUGGGCGUAAAGAGCGUGUAGGCGGCCCGAUAAGUCUGCUGUGAAAGUCCAGGGCUCAACCCUGGAAUGCCGGUGGAUACUGUCGGGCUCGAAUCCGGAAGAGGUGAGUGGAAUUCCUGGUGUAGCGGUGAAAUGCGCAGAUAUCAGGAGGAACACCAAUGGCGAAGGCAGCUCACUGGGACGGUAUUGACGCUGAGACGCGAAAGCGUGGGGAGCAAACAGG